AAUCAACGCUGGCGGCGUGCCUAACACAUGCAAGUCGAACGAGAAAGGGGCUUCGGUCCCUGAGUACAGUGGCGCACGGGUGAGUAACACGUGACUUAUCUACCCUCGAGUGGGGAAUAACUUCGGGAAACCGAGGCUAAUACCGCAUAAUACCCACGGGUCAAAGGAGCAAUUCGCUUGAGGAGGAGGUCGCGGCCGAUUAGUUAGUUGGCGGGGUAAUGGCCCCACCCAAGACGGUGAUCGGUAUCCGGCCUGAGAGGGCGCACGGACACACUGGAACUGAAACACGGUCCAGACUCCUACGGGAGGCAGCAGUGGGGAAUUUUGCGCAAUGGGGGAAACCCUGACGCAGCAACGCCGCGUGGAGGAUGAAGUCUCUUGGGACGUAAACUCCUUUCGAUCGGGACGAUUAUGACGGUACCGGAAGAAGAAGCCCCGGCUAACUUCGUG
RNAcentral lists this ribosomal RNA (450 nucleotides) under uncultured bacterium. Its description in RNAcentral is "bacterial SSU rRNA". It matches the Rfam family "Bacterial small subunit ribosomal RNA", at positions 32 to 507 of the family's 1533-position model. The record is from RNAcentral.